Molecule: ribosomal RNA, 254 nt
Filed under: uncultured bacterium
Lineage: Bacteria
Description: partial 16S ribosomal RNA
Rfam family: Bacterial small subunit ribosomal RNA
Source: RNAcentral
UACAGGGGGGGGCAAGCGUUGUUCGGAAUUACUGGGCGUAAAGGGCUCGUAGGCGGCCAACUAAGUCACACGUGAAAUCCCCAGGCUUAACCUGGGAACUGCGUGUGAUACUGGAUGGCUUGAAUCCGGGAGAGGGAUGCAGAAUUCCAGGUGUAGCGGUGAAAUGCGUAGAUAUCUGGAGGAAUACCGGUGGCGAAGGCGGCGACCUGGUCCGGGACUGACGCUGAGGCGCGAAAGCGUGGGGAGCAAACAGG